GAUGAACGCUGGCGGCGUGCCUAAUACAUGCAAGUCGAGCGAACAGAUAAGGAGCUUGCUCCUUUGACGUUAGCGGCGGACAGGUGAGUAACACGUGGGUAACCUACCUAUAAGACUGGGAUAACUUCGGGAAACCGGAGCUAAUACCGGAUAACAUUUGGAACCGCAUGGUUCUAAAGUGAAAGAUGGUUUUGCUAUCACUUAUAGAUGGACCCGCGCCGUAUUAGCUAGUUGGUAAGGUAACGGCUUACCAAGGCGACGAUACGUAGCCGACCUGAGAGGGUGAUCGGCCACACUGGAACUGAGACACGGUCCAGACUCCUACGGGAGGCAGCAGUAGGGAAUCUUCCGCAAUGGGCGAAAGCCUGACGGAGCAACGCCGCGUGAGUGAUGAAGGGUUUCGGCUCGUAAAACUCUGUUAUUAGGGAAGAACAAAUGUGUAAGUAACUGUGCACGUCUUGACGGUACCUAAUCAGAAAGCCACGGCUAACUACGUG
This 497-nucleotide ribosomal RNA is filed under the name uncultured bacterium. RNAcentral's name for it is "partial 16S ribosomal RNA". It matches the Rfam family "Bacterial small subunit ribosomal RNA", at positions 28 to 507 of the family's 1533-position model. The record is from RNAcentral.